Molecule: ribosomal RNA, 460 nt
Filed under: uncultured bacterium
Lineage: Bacteria
Description: partial 16S ribosomal RNA
Rfam family: Bacterial small subunit ribosomal RNA
Source: RNAcentral
CCUACGGGGGGCAGCAGUGAGGAAUAUUGGUCAAUGGACGAGAGUCUGAACCAGCCAAGUAGCGUGAAGGAUGACUGCCCUAUGGGUUGUAAACUUCUUUUAUAUAGGAAUAAAACGAGCCACGUGUGCCUUUUUGCAUGUACUUUAUGAAUAAGGAUCGGCUAACUCCGUGCCAGCAGCCGCGGUAAUACGGAGGGUCCGGGCGUUAUCCGGAUUUCUUGGGUUUAAAGGGAGCGUAGGGGGGUCUUUAAGUGUGUCGUGAAAUUUUGUGGCUCAACCCUGAGAGUGCGGCGCGAACUGGAGACCUUGAGUGCGCGGGAGGCAGGCGGAAUUCGUGGUGUAGCGGUGAAAUGCUUAGAUAUCACGAAGAACCCCGAUUGCGAAGGCAGCCUGCCGGAGCGUUACUGACGCUGAGGCUCGAAAGUGUGGGUAUCGAACAGGAUUAGAUACCCUUGUAGUC